RNAcentral lists this small RNA (642 nucleotides) under Pan troglodytes (chimpanzee). Its description in RNAcentral is "retained intron". The record is from RNAcentral. Lineage: Eukaryota; Metazoa; Chordata; Mammalia; Primates; Hominidae.
AACCGUGGGUUCAUCUCAUGGCUGACUCGAACUGGAACCUUCUGACCUUCACAGGGGGACUAUGUUGGAGUUCAGAGUAAAGGAAUAGGUUGGAGAAAUCGGGUGGCAGGAUGAUUAGGUGACAGUUAUACACUUCAGACCACAGUGAGUCUCUAACUGCAAGCUGUUGAAAUGGUCAACAUAUUUACUUUUCUUUUUUAUUUACAGGGAAGGAGAUUGGUGGGAAGCCCGCUCCUUGACAACUGGAGAGACAGGUUACAUUCCCAGCAAUUAUGUGGCUCCAGUUGACUCUAUCCAGGCAGAAGAGUGGUACUUUGGAAAACUUGGCCGAAAAGAUGCUGAGCGACAGCUAUUGUCCUUUGGAAACCCAAGAGGUACCUUUCUUAUCCGCGAGAGUGAAACCACCAAAGGUGCCUAUUCACUUUCUAUCCGUGAUUGGGAUGAUAUGAAAGGAGACCAUGUCAAACAUUAUAAAAUUCGCAAACUUGACAAUGGUGGAUACUACAUUACCACCCGGGCCCAGUUUGAAACACUUCAGCAGCUUGUACAACAUUACUCAGAGAGAGCUGCAGGUCUCUGCUGCCGCCUAGUAGUUCCCUGUCACAAAGGGAUGCCAAGGCUUACCGAUCUGUCUGUCAAAAC